CUCUCUGCUCUCGCGGCCGACUCGCAAGAUGGCGCCGCAGAAAGACAGGAAGCCCAAGAGGUCAACCUGGAGGUUUAAUUUGGACCUUACUCAUCCAGUAGAAGAUGGAAUUUUUGAUUCUGGAAAUUUUGGUACCUUCCCUAGUGAAUAUCUAGGGUUCUCUUCCCUAGUUUUGCAUUUUUUCUGUUUUAAAAUAGGAGCAAUUUCUACGGGAGAAGGUUAAAGUCAAUGGCAAAACUGGAAAUCUCGGGAAUGUUGUUCACAUUGAACGCUUCAAGAAUAAAAUCACAGUUGUUUCUGAGAAACAGUUCUCUAAAAGGUAUUUGAAAUACCUUACCAAGAAAUACCUUAAGAAGAACAAUCUUCGUGAUUGGCUUCGAGUGGUUGCAUCUGACAAGGAGACCUACGAACUUCGUUACUUCCAGAUUAGUCAAGAUGAAGAUGAAUCAGAGUCGGAGGACUAGGCAAAGGCUCCCCUUACAGGGCUUUGCUUAUUAAUAAAAUAAAUGAAGUAUACAUGAGAAAUACCAAGAAAUUGGCUUUUAGUUUAUCAGUGAAUAAAAAAUAUUAUACUCUUGAACUUUUGUCUCAUUUUUUUGAGUAUGCUGUUUAUAUGAUUUUGAUUUCCCUCUGAUAACUAUCAACAGUAUUUAAAUAGCUUAUAGCUGGUAUAAUUUUUUCCCACGAUUUCCAAAAUCUUUUAUGUACUCAGGUAAAAGUAGCGUUAUAUAGGAAAUCUUUUUUUUAGACACUCUCGUUCUGUCACCCAGGCUGGAGUGCAGUGACUCAGCUUCCUAAAUAGCUGGAAUUACAGGUGUGAGCCACCAUGCCCGGCUAAUUUUUUGUACUUUUAGUAGAGUAGGGUUUGGCCAUGUUGGCCAGGCUGGUUUCAAACUCCUGACCUCAAGUGAUCUACCCACCUCGGCUUCCCAAAGUGCUGAUUAUAGCUGUGAACCACCAUGCCCGGCCAGGAAAUCUUACUGUAGAACAAUUUUUUAUAUAGCUGUAUAAAAUGUAUAUGAUUGUCUUGACAGUCUCAAAUACUGUUUUUAAUAGCUUGUAAAUGUAAUCUCAAGUGCUUAGAACAGUUCUUACAUAUAAGUUGCUCUGUAGUUUGCUCUUAUAGUUAGCCCAAAGACUCUGGGUGUGAGGCCUGCUGUAAACCAAUGUUAAACUGCUUAUUAGAAAGCCCUAACCACCUGCUUUGUAGGCACCAGAAACUCAAAACCAAAUCUCAACUCAGCUACAGAAUCUACUGUGGUCCUUGUCUGAAAAAAUUAGUUCACUCGGUUGGAAUCUUGUCUCAGAGCAUCCUCAUCUCUUUCUCAAAAGCCCCUACCCCAACACCGGCGUGUUGGUUGUCUAUUGAAACUUACAAGUGGAUGGACCCUUUCUCCCGAAUAAACUGGCCUUUGAAAGCUCUAAUCGAAAUGGUUUGGCAAAAUCCAUACUGCAGGAGAUUAGGGAGGACAAGAAUGAUGUGCCUUUUUGUACUGCUGAGCCUGAUGGUGGUGCCACUACUUCAGGUACUUAGAUGAGUCUUGAUGCUAAUAGAAUUGUGUCGCCAAACAUAUCUGGACAGUUACAACCUAAUCUAUGCAUUAAUUGGUUUGGGAAUUGCUUGAAAUUAUUGUUUAAUUCAAUGUUUUAAUUCGUUUUCCUAAAAAUUUAAGUGCCCCCAUCAUCGUGCAAUACCUCAGUGCAGCAACUCCUUGAUUCUUGGAUGACUGAACUUCCUAACUUGGCUCUGCCCCAUUGUUCCCAUUUUUCAUGUUUUUCACAAAUAGUUAACCAGGUACCUACUACUGUGCACCGCUGCAGAGCAUUGAGGAUGUAUGUGAUGAGUAAAAACACCCAGCCUGCUCUGCUGUGUUAGUAUUAUGACGGAAACUGAUCAAAUCACAUGUGAACAAAUUUACUGCUACAAAAGGGAGGGCUUAAUAAAAGGAAUUUCAUCUGGGAAGGCAAA
This is an RNA transcript of Homo sapiens (human), 1969 nucleotides long. It is a transcript of the gene named ribosomal protein L22 like 1, with no coding region annotated. The record is from RefSeq and is marked validated. NCBI's taxonomy places the organism in Eukaryota, Metazoa, Chordata, Mammalia, Primates, Hominidae. The transcript is spliced from 4 exons.